GACGAACGCUGGCGGCGUGCCUAAUACAUGCAAGUCGAACGAGAGCGACCGGUGCUUGCACUGGUCAAUCUAGUGGCGAACGGGUGAGUAACACGUGGGUAACCUGCCCAUCAGAGGGGGAUAACAUCCGGAAACGGAUGCUAAAACCGCAUAGGUCUUCGAGCCGCAUGGCUUGAAGAGGAAAAGAGGCGCAAGCUUCUGCUGAUGGAUGGACCCGCGGUGCAUUAGCUAGUUGGUGAGGUAACGGCUCACCAAGGCCGUGAUGCAUAGCCGACCUGAGAGGGUGAUCGGCCACAUUGGGACUGAGACACGGCACAAACUCCUACGGGAGGCAGCAGUAGGGAAUCUUCCGCAAUGGACGCAAGUCUGACGGAGCAACGCCGCGUGAGUGAAGAAGGUUUUCGGAUCGUAAAACUCUGUUGUUAGAGAAGAACAAGUGCUAGAGUAACUGUUAGCGCCUUGACGGUAUCUAACCAGAAAGCCACGGCUAACUACGUG
Molecule: ribosomal RNA, 498 nt
Filed under: uncultured bacterium
Lineage: Bacteria
Description: partial 16S ribosomal RNA
Rfam family: Bacterial small subunit ribosomal RNA
Source: RNAcentral